CAGGUGUUGGCAUCGACGACAAACCGCUGAUUAGCCCGCUCCCUUGAUUCAAGGAGGAUCGGACUGGGGUGAUCAGCCUCCAGGAAUUCAAAGCUUUCACUCGCUACCAGAAGCCCUAGACCACAGGGCCCUGAGGCCGCGGUCUGGGGGGACAGCCCGUGGCAUUUCUGGCCCAGCCGCCCGUCCCAGUCUGGCUGCCGCCGCGCCUCCACGCUGCACAGAUAAGCGGAGUCAGAACCCUCUGGAUACCCAGGGCUGGCCCCCUGCGGGCGGCGCUCCUCGGAGCAGUCACCACGCAGUGGCCCAAGCCCACGAGUCCUUCACCUUCGUGCGCAGCCCCGCCACGAGCUGCCAGCUGCUCUCCGCCCGUGAGUCUGCCCCAUUUCCCAGUCAGUGCGGCGAGUUCACUAGAGUCCCCCCAGGAGUGAGGUCACGCGGGGUUUGUCUCGCUCUCACUGGCUUACUUCACUGAGCAUAGCG
Long non-coding RNA from Phyllostomus hastatus (greater spear-nosed bat), 480 nucleotides. RefSeq lists it as uncharacterized. The transcript is spliced from 3 exons. The record is from RefSeq and is a predicted model, not a curated record. NCBI's taxonomy places the organism in Eukaryota, Metazoa, Chordata, Mammalia, Chiroptera, Phyllostomidae.